GUUUUAGAAACAUCAGUGGCCAACAGUCGUCAGGAUUGUUGAGCUGCAUUGGCGGGAUUUCGCCGUCUUCGUUUCUCUAUCUUCGCGGACGAACACGCGCCGGGGCUGCGUUGUGCGAUUGCAUUUGGCGCUAGUCGCCGGUUGCUGCACGCCAAGACCCUAGUCCUUGAUAGGAUAGCGUUAGGGGCUUGUAGCUCAGUUGGUUAGAGCGCGCGCUUGAUAAGCGUGAGGUCGGAAGUUCAAGUCUUCCCAGGCCCACCACUUUCAUCGAGUGAGCAUUCGUCUUCUGGUUACGGGGCCAUAGCUCAGCUGGGAGAGCGCGUGCUUUGCAAGCAUGAGGUCGUCGGUUCGAUCCCGUCUGGCUCCACCAGAUGGUUUGAUCAUCGACUGAUCGUGCACCUAAAUCGUCCGCGAAACAUCACUUCGCACUUGCUAGUCCGGAUGGACAGCAGGCUGCGUGAUUUCUGACAUCGUAAAGAGGAGAUCGAUCCGAGUUGGAUCGUGCAGAAGAUUUCUGCGCGAUACUUCAUUAUCUCCGGAUCAUUUCGGCGCUCACGCGUCCUUCAAGUCAAACUUGAAAGACGGGCGAGUUGUAAAUGAUCCUUUUAGCGAAGCUUGACCCGCCUCGCUAUCGGAACGAUCUUGACGAUGCAAGGCUGGUCUUUCUAAUCAUUUGUCCCGCUGCAGAUAGCCGUUCAUCGAGGGCGGCGGUGGCCGCAAUGGCAGUUCUGCAGACAACAUCUGCCGAGUGUGUGGACAUUGAUAAUGAGAGCAAUCAAG
RNAcentral lists this transfer RNA (780 nucleotides) under Bradyrhizobium japonicum. RNAcentral describes it as "partial contains 16S-23S ribosomal RNA intergenic spacer, and 23S ribosomal RNA". The stretch from base 185 to 258 matches the Rfam family "tRNA". The record is from RNAcentral. Lineage: Bacteria; Pseudomonadati; Pseudomonadota; Alphaproteobacteria; Hyphomicrobiales; Nitrobacteraceae.